This is a long non-coding RNA of Magnolia sinica, 639 nucleotides long. RefSeq lists it as uncharacterized. NCBI's taxonomy places the organism in Eukaryota, Viridiplantae, Streptophyta, Magnoliopsida, Magnoliales, Magnoliaceae. The record is from RefSeq and is a predicted model, not a curated record. The transcript has 4 exons.
UAAAUGUGUUGCCUUUAGUUUCAUAUGUUUAUCUCAUAAACUGGAAAAAUUAGAAGAGAGAUUCUUCUACAUGUAAUGAACUUGAGGAAAUGCACGAGCCAGUAGACAGACCAGAUUUGGAGCAGUUUGGAACACAGCAAAGGUAGAACCAGGAUCUAUUGUUGCUGUUUUCGGCCUUGGGACUGUUGGCCUUGCAUAGUGUAAUUUAUGUCAGUAAGGAACUCUUCAAGGAGCCAGUACGUCUGGAUUUGUUUGCAGCCAAUCCAUGCUUUGAAACCCAUAUCAACUGAGAAUAGACAUUGACAGGCAGGUUAAAAGCUUCGUUCUGUAAGGCUUUUCACACAUCUUCCAUCUAUGGCAGAGCUUAUGAAAGUAAAGUUUGUAUCUCACAACUGUUGGCCCCACUUGUAAGUUGUAAUGUGUAUCCCGACACUAAAACCCAAUGCACUUGUAAGUUCUUUUUUUAAAGGUGCAGCUUGUCUGCUACAUGUGCUCUUGCACGUGUUAGCGUGAUGGACAUGCUGCGUUUCCACAAGUUCACCAUAGAUGAGUCUCUGUCCUAUUGCACUGCAAGAUGCCAUGUUUAUUAUGUCCCAUUGUUGGAACUAUUGGAUUUGAUAUGUUGGAUUUGCCAAAUCA